CCAGAGAAUAGUUUAUAAAAAAUAUUAAUUUUGGAAAUUAAAGACAAAAGCCUUUGCUUUUUUCCCUG
This 68-nucleotide transfer RNA is filed under the name Cherax quinquecarinatus. Its description in RNAcentral is "tRNA-Pro". Lineage: Eukaryota; Metazoa; Arthropoda; Malacostraca; Decapoda; Parastacidae. The record is from RNAcentral.